UACAGAGGUCUCAAGCGUUGUUCGGAUUCAUUGGGCGUAAAGGGUGCGUAGGCGGCGCGGUAAGUCGGAUGUGAAAUCUCGGAGCUUAACUUCGAAACUGCAUUCGAUACUGCCGUGCUUGAGGACUGGAGAGGAGACUGGAAUUUACGGUGUAGCGGUGAAAUGCGUAGAUAUCGUAAGGAAGACCAGUGGCGAAGGCGCCUUGCUGGCCGACUUCUGACGCUGAGGCGCGAAAGCGUGGGGAGCAAACAGG
RNAcentral lists this ribosomal RNA (253 nucleotides) under uncultured bacterium. Its description in RNAcentral is "partial 16S ribosomal RNA". It matches the Rfam family "Bacterial small subunit ribosomal RNA", at positions 524 to 776 of the family's 1533-position model. The record is from RNAcentral.